This 239-nucleotide ribosomal RNA is filed under the name uncultured Lactobacillus sp. RNAcentral's name for it is "partial 16S ribosomal RNA". It matches the Rfam family "Bacterial small subunit ribosomal RNA", at positions 125 to 355 of the family's 1533-position model. Lineage: Bacteria; Bacillati; Bacillota; Bacilli; Lactobacillales; Lactobacillaceae. The record is from RNAcentral.
CCGUGCCCAAGAGAUCGGGAUAACACCUGGAAACAGAUGCUAAUACCGGAUAACAAUAGAUGAUGCCUAUCAACUGUUUAAAAGAUGGUUCUGCUAUCACUCUUGGAUGGACCUGCGGUGCAUUAGCUAGUUGGUAGGGUAACGGCCUACCAAGGCGAUGAUGCAUAGCCGAGUUGAGAGACUGAUCGGCCACAUUGGGACUGAGACACGGCCCAAACUCCUACGGGAGGGCAGCAGCA